Molecule: ribosomal RNA, 118 nt
Filed under: Pteropus alecto (black flying fox)
Lineage: Eukaryota; Metazoa; Chordata; Mammalia; Chiroptera; Pteropodidae
Source: RNAcentral
GUCUGCGGCCAUGCCACCCUGAACAAGCCAUAUCUUGUCUGAUCUGGAAGCUAAGCAGGGUCGGACCUGGUUAGUACUUGGAUGGGAGACCACCUAGGAAGACCAGGUGCUGUAGGCG